Molecule: ribosomal RNA, 2902 nt
Filed under: Escherichia coli
Lineage: Bacteria; Pseudomonadati; Pseudomonadota; Gammaproteobacteria; Enterobacterales; Enterobacteriaceae
Description: bacterial LSU rRNA
Rfam family: Bacterial large subunit ribosomal RNA
Source: RNAcentral
UUAAGCGACUAAGCGUACACGGUGGAUGCCCUGGCAGUCAGAGGCGAUGAAGGACGUGCUAAUCUGCGAUAAGCGUCGGUAAGGUGAUAUGAACCGUUAUAACCGGCGAUUUCCGAAUGGGGAAACCCAGUGUGAUUCGUCACACUAUCAUUAACUGAAUCCAUAGGUUAAUGAGGCGAACCGGGGGAACUGAAACAUCUAAGUACCCCGAGGAAAAGAAAUCAACCGAGAUUCCCCCAGUAGCGGCGAGCGAACGGGGAGCAGCCCAGAGCCUGAAUCAGUGUGUGUGUUAGUGGAAGCGUCUGGAAAGGCGCGCGAUACAGGGUGACAGCCCCGUACACAAAAAUGCACAUACUGUGAGCUCGAUGAGUAGGGCGGGACACGUGGUAUCCUGUCUGAAUAUGGGGGGACCAUCCUCCAAGGCUAAAUACUCCUGACUGACCGAUAGUGAACCAGUACCGUGAGGGAAAGGCGAAAAGAACCCCGGCGAGGGGAGUGAAAAAGAACCUGAAACCGUGUACGUACAAGCAGUGGGAGCACGCUUAGGCGUGUGACUGCGUACCUUUUGUAUAAUGGGUCAGCGACUUAUAUUCUGUAGCAAGGUUAACCGAAUAGGGGAGCCGAAGGGAAACCGAGUCUUAACUGGGCGUUAAGUUGCAGGGUAUAGACCCGAAACCCGGUGAUCUAGCCAUGGGCAGGUUGAAGGUUGGGUAACACUAACUGGAGGACCGAACCGACUAAUGUUGAAAAAUUAGCGGAUGACUUGUGGCUGGGGGUGAAAGGCCAAUCAAACCGGGAGAUAGCUGGUUCUCCCCGAAAGCUAUUUAGGUAGCGCCUCGUGAAUUCAUCUCCGGGGGUAGAGCACUGUUUCGGCAAGGGGGUCAUCCCGACUUACCAACCCGAUGCAAACUGCGAAUACCGGAGAAUGUUAUCACGGGAGACACACGGCGGGUGCUAACGUCCGUCGUGAAGAGGGAAACAACCCAGACCGCCAGCUAAGGUCCCAAAGUCAUGGUUAAGUGGGAAACGAUGUGGGAAGGCCCAGACAGCCAGGAUGUUGGCUUAGAAGCAGCCAUCAUUUAAAGAAAGCGUAAUAGCUCACUGGUCGAGUCGGCCUGCGCGGAAGAUGUAACGGGGCUAAACCAUGCACCGAAGCUGCGGCAGCGACGCUGAUGCGUUGUUGGGUAGGGGAGCGUUCUGUAAGCCUGCGAAGGUGUGCUGUGAGGCAUGCUGGAGGUAUCAGAAGUGCGAAUGCUGACAUAAGUAACGAUAAAGCGGGUGAAAAGCCCGCUCGCCGGAAGACCAAGGGUUCCUGUCCAACGUUAAUCGGGGCAGGGUGAGUCGACCCCUAAGGCGAGGCCGAAAGGCGUAGUCGAUGGGAAACAGGUUAAUAUUCCUGUACUUGGUGUUACUGCGAAGGGGGGACGGAGAAGGCUAUGUUGGCCGGGCGACGGUUGUCCCGGUUUAAGCGUGUAGGCUGGUUUUCCAGGCAAAUCCGGAAAAUCAAGGCUGAGGCGUGAUGACGAGGCACUACGGUGCUGAAGCAACAAAUGCCCUGCUUCCAGGAAAAGCCUCUAAGCAUCAGGUAACAUCAAAUCGUACCCCAAACCGACACAGGUGGUCAGGUAGAGAAUACCAAGGCGCUUGAGAGAACUCGGGUGAAGGAACUAGGCAAAAUGGUGCCGUAACUUCGGGAGAAGGCACGCUGAUAUGUAGGUGAGGUCCCUCGCGGAUGGAGCUGAAAUCAGUCGAAGAUACCAGCUGGCUGCAACUGUUUAUUAAAAACACAGCACUGUGCAAACACGAAAGUGGACGUAUACGGUGUGACGCCUGCCCGGUGCCGGAAGGUUAAUUGAUGGGGUCAGCGCAAGCGAAGCUCUUGAUCGAAGCCCCGGUAAACGGCGGCCGUAACUAUAACGGUCCUAAGGUAGCGAAAUUCCUUGUCGGGUAAGUUCCGACCUGCACGAAUGGCGUAAUGAUGGCCAGGCUGUCUCCACCCGAGACUCAGUGAAAUUGAACUCGCUGUGAAGAUGCAGUGUACCCGCGGCAAGACGGAAAGACCCCGUGAACCUUUACUAUAGCUUGACACUGAACAUUGAGCCUUGAUGUGUAGGAUAGGUGGGAGGCUUUGAAGUGUGGACGCCAGUCUGCAUGGAGCCGACCUUGAAAUACCACCCUUUAAUGUUUGAUGUUCUAACGUUGACCCGUAAUCCGGGUUGCGGACAGUGUCUGGUGGGUAGUUUGACUGGGGCGGUCUCCUCCUAAAGAGUAACGGAGGAGCACGAAGGUUGGCUAAUCCUGGUCGGACAUCAGGAGGUUAGUGCAAUGGCAUAAGCCAGCUUGACUGCGAGCGUGACGGCGCGAGCAGGUGCGAAAGCAGGUCAUAGUGAUCCGGUGGUUCUGAAUGGAAGGGCCAUCGCUCAACGGAUAAAAGGUACUCCGGGGAUAACAGGCUGAUACCGCCCAAGAGUUCAUAUCGACGGCGGUGUUUGGCACCUCGAUGUCGGCUCAUCACAUCCUGGGGCUGAAGUAGGUCCCAAGGGUAUGGCUGUUCGCCAUUUAAAGUGGUACGCGAGCUGGGUUUAGAACGUCGUGAGACAGUUCGGUCCCUAUCUGCCGUGGGCGCUGGAGAACUGAGGGGGGCUGCUCCUAGUACGAGAGGACCGGAGUGGACGCAUCACUGGUGUUCGGGUUGUCAUGCCAAUGGCACUGCCCGGUAGCUAAAUGCGGAAGAGAUAAGUGCUGAAAGCAUCUAAGCACGAAACUUGCCCCGAGAUGAGUUCUCCCUGACCCUUUAAGGGUCCUGAAGGAACGUUGAAGACGACGACGUUGAUAGGCCGGGUGUGUAAGCGCAGCGAUGCGUUGAGCUAACCGGUACUAAUGAACCGUGAGGCUUAACCUU